This 2893-nucleotide ribosomal RNA is filed under the name Escherichia coli O6:H16. RNAcentral describes it as "bacterial LSU rRNA". It matches the Rfam family "Bacterial large subunit ribosomal RNA". The record is from RNAcentral. Lineage: Bacteria; Pseudomonadati; Pseudomonadota; Gammaproteobacteria; Enterobacterales; Enterobacteriaceae.
ACUAAGCGUACACGGUGGAUGCCCUGGCAGUCAGAGGCGAUGAAGGACGUGCUAAUCUGCGAUAAGCGUCGGUAAGGUGAUAUGAACCGUUAUAACCGGCGAUUUCCGAAUGGGGAAACCCAGUGUGUUUCGACACACUAUCAUUAACUGAAUCCAUAGGUUAAUGAGGCGAACCGGGGGAACUGAAACAUCUAAGUACCCCGAGGAAAAGAAAUCAACCGAGAUUCCCCCAGUAGCGGCGAGCGAACGGGGAGCAGCCCAGAGCCUGAAUCAGUGUGUGUGUUAGUGGAAGCGUCUGGAAAGGCGCGCGAUACAGGGUGACAGCCCCGUACACAAAAAUGCACAUGCUGUGAGCUCGAUGAGUAGGGCGGGACACGUGGUAUCCUGUCUGAAUAUGGGGGGACCAUCCUCCAAGGCUAAAUACUCCUGACUGACCGAUAGUGAACCAGUACCGUGAGGGAAAGGCGAAAAGAACCCCGGCGAGGGGAGUGAAAAAGAACCUGAAACCGUGUACGUACAAGCAGUGGGAGCCUCUUUUAUGGGGUGACUGCGUACCUUUUGUAUAAUGGGUCAGCGACUUAUAUUCUGUAGCAAGGUUAACCGAAUAGGGGAGCCGAAGGGAAACCGAGUCUUAACUGGGCGUUAAGUUGCAGGGUAUAGACCCGAAACCCGGUGAUCUAGCCAUGGGCAGGUUGAAGGUUGGGUAACACUAACUGGAGGACCGAACCGACUAAUGUUGAAAAAUUAGCGGAUGACUUGUGGCUGGGGGUGAAAGGCCAAUCAAACCGGGAGAUAGCUGGUUCUCCCCGAAAGCUAUUUAGGUAGCGCCUCGUGAAUUCAUCUCCGGGGGUAGAGCACUGUUUCGGCAAGGGGGUCAUCCCGACUUACCAACCCGAUGCAAACUGCGAAUACCGGAGAAUGUUAUCACGGGAGACACACGGCGGGUGCUAACGUCCGUCGUGAAGAGGGAAACAACCCAGACCGCCAGCUAAGGUCCCAAAGUCAUGGUUAAGUGGGAAACGAUGUGGGAAGGCCCAGACAGCCAGGAUGUUGGCUUAGAAGCAGCCAUCAUUUAAAGAAAGCGUAAUAGCUCACUGGUCGAGUCGGCCUGCGCGGAAGAUGUAACGGGGCUAAACCAUGCACCGAAGCUGCGGCAGCGACGCUUAUGCGUUGUUGGGUAGGGGAGCGUUCUGUAAGCCUGUGAAGGUGUGCUGUGAGGCAUGCUGGAGGUAUCAGAAGUGCGAAUGCUGACAUAAGUAACGAUAAAGCGGGUGAAAAGCCCGCUCGCCGGAAGACCAAGGGUUCCUGUCCAACGUUAAUCGGGGCAGGGUGAGUCGACCCCUAAGGCGAGGCCGAAAGGCGUAGUCGAUGGGAAACAGGUUAAUAUUCCUGUACUUGGUGUUACUGCGAAGGGGGGACGGAGAAGGCUAUGUUGGCCGGGCGACGGUUGUCCCGGUUUAAGCGUGUAGGCUGGUUUUCCAGGCAAAUCCGGAAAAUCAAGGCUGAGGCGUGAUGACGAGGCACUACGGUGCUGAAGCAACAAAUGCCCUGCUUCCAGGAAAAGCCUCUAAGCAUCAGGUAACAUCAAAUCGUACCCCAAACCGACACAGGUGGUCAGGUAGAGAAUACCAAGGCGCUUGAGAGAACUCGGGUGAAGGAACUAGGCAAAAUGGUGCCGUAACUUCGGGAGAAGGCACGCUGAUAUGUAGGUGAAGCGACUUGCUCGUGGAGCUGAAAUCAGUCGAAGAUACCAGCUGGCUGCAACUGUUUAUUAAAAACACAGCACUGUGCAAACACGAAAGUGGACGUAUACGGUGUGACGCCUGCCCGGUGCCGGAAGGUUAAUUGAUGGGGUCAGCGCAAGCGAAGCUCUUGAUCGAAGCCCCGGUAAACGGCGGCCGUAACUAUAACGGUCCUAAGGUAGCGAAAUUCCUUGUCGGGUAAGUUCCGACCUGCACGAAUGGCGUAAUGAUGGCCAGGCUGUCUCCACCCGAGACUCAGUGAAAUUGAACUCGCUGUGAAGAUGCAGUGUACCCGCGGCAAGACGGAAAGACCCCGUGAACCUUUACUAUAGCUUGACACUGAACAUUGAGCCUUGAUGUGUAGGAUAGGUGGGAGGCUUUGAAGUGUGGACGCCAGUCUGCAUGGAGCCGACCUUGAAAUACCACCCUUUAAUGUUUGAUGUUCUAACGUUGACCCGUGAUCCGGGUUGCGGACAGUGUCUGGUGGGUAGUUUGACUGGGGCGGUCUCCUCCUAAAGAGUAACGGAGGAGCACGAAGGUUGGCUAAUCCUGGUCGGACAUCAGGAGGUUAGUGCAAUGGCAUAAGCCAGCUUGACUGCGAGCGUGACGGCGCGAGCAGGUGCGAAAGCAGGUCAUAGUGAUCCGGUGGUUCUGAAUGGAAGGGCCAUCGCUCAACGGAUAAAAGGUACUCCGGGGAUAACAGGCUGAUACCGCCCAAGAGUUCAUAUCGACGGCGGUGUUUGGCACCUCGAUGUCGGCUCAUCACAUCCUGGGGCUGAAGUAGGUCCCAAGGGUAUGGCUGUUCGCCAUUUAAAGUGGUACGCGAGCUGGGUUUAGAACGUCGUGAGACAGUUCGGUCCCUAUCUGCCGUGGGCGCUGGAGAACUGAGGGGGGCUGCUCCUAGUACGAGAGGACCGGAGUGGACGCAUCACUGGUGUUCGGGUUGUCAUGCCAAUGGCACUGCCCGGUAGCUAAAUGCGGAAGAGAUAAGUGCUGAAAGCAUCUAAGCACGAAACUUGCCCCGAGAUGAGUUCUCCCUGACUCCUUGAGAGUCCUGAAGGAACGUUGAAGACGACGACGUUGAUAGGCCGGGUGUGUAAGCGCAGCGAUGCGUUGAGCUAACCGGUACUAAUGAACCGUGAGGCUUAACC